This is a long non-coding RNA of Gossypium arboreum, 481 nucleotides long. RefSeq lists it as uncharacterized. The record is from RefSeq and is a predicted model, not a curated record. The transcript has 3 exons. Lineage: Eukaryota; Viridiplantae; Streptophyta; Magnoliopsida; Malvales; Malvaceae.
AAAAUUGCUUAAAUCGUCUGGUUUAAUUUAAUUCAGUUCUUUAAACUGGUUCAGCCACACUCAAUCUCACUCUAGCAAGCUCGAGUAUUUGUCGAUGAAAACCAUCUAGAGAUUUUUUUUCUCUUUAUAAUGAACUCACACCACAAAUGAUGCCUUCAUUUCUUCCGGUUUAACGAUCCGAUACAGGCGGCGCUUCUCUUCUGUUCUCUACUUUUUGCAGAGUCACUUUGCAUCGUCUAAGGCUUCCUUUGGUUCACCGUUUAAAGCCAGUGAGGUGCAGUUAGACUCCCAACCUCACUGGGAAGCUGUUUGGUUGAGUGUUUCAGUGCAACCAAAAUCAAUUCUCACCACACUGCUAUCCCAAAAAUCAACUGAAGCUUUCAGCAGCAAUUUGGCGGCCAAAUUCUGCUAUCUAUGUUGGAGUUUCAACACACUUUAACCAGGUAAAGUAAGAAUUUCAAACAGAGCACCAAAGAAGAAC